This 253-nucleotide ribosomal RNA is filed under the name uncultured bacterium. RNAcentral's name for it is "partial 16S ribosomal RNA". It matches the Rfam family "Bacterial small subunit ribosomal RNA", at positions 524 to 776 of the family's 1533-position model. The record is from RNAcentral.
UACAGAGGGUGCGAGCGUUAAUCGGAAUUACUGGGCGUAAAGCGUGCGUAGACGGUUAUUUAAGUCGGAUGUGAAAGCCCCGGGCUCAACCUGGGAAUUGCAUUCGAGACUGAAUAGCUAGGGUACGGUAGAGGGAAGUGGAAUUUCCGGUGUAGCGGUGAAAUGCGUAGAUAUCGGAAGGAACAUCAGUGGCGAAAGCGACUUCCUGGACCAAUACUGACGCUCAUGUGCGAAAGCGUGGGGAGCAAACAGG